Molecule: ribosomal RNA, 790 nt
Filed under: Shigella flexneri
Lineage: Bacteria; Pseudomonadati; Pseudomonadota; Gammaproteobacteria; Enterobacterales; Enterobacteriaceae
Description: partial 23S ribosomal RNA
Rfam family: Bacterial large subunit ribosomal RNA
Source: RNAcentral
GGGACCAUCCUCCAAGGCUAAAUACUCCUGACUGACCGAUAGUGAACCAGUACCGUGAGGGAAAGGCGAAAAGAACCCCGGCGAGGGGAGUGAAAAAGAACCUGAAACCGUGUACGUACAAGCAGUGGGAGCACGCUUAGGCGUGUGACUGCGUACCUUUUGUAUAAUGGGUCAGCGACUUAUAUUCUGUAGCAAGGUUAACCGAAUAGGGGAGCCGAAGGGAAACCGAGUCUUAACUGGGCGUUAAGUUGCAGGGUAUAGACCCGAAACCCGGUGAUCUAGCCAUGGGCAGGUUGAAGGUUGGGUAACACUAACUGGAGGACCGAACCGACUAAUGUUGAAAAAUUAGCGGAUGACUUGUGGCUGGGGGUGAAAGGCCAAUCAAACCGGGAGAUAGCUGGUUCUCCCCGAAAGCUAUUUAGGUAGCGCCUCGUGAAUUCAUCUCCGGGGGUAGAGCACUGUUUCGGCAAGGGGGUCAUCCCGACUUACCAACCCGAUGCAAACUGCGAAUACCGGAGAAUGUUAUCACGGGAGACACACGGCGGGUGCUAACGUCCGUCGUGAAGAGGGAAACAACCCAGACCGCCAGCUAAGGUCCCAAAGUCAUGGUUAAGUGGGAAACGAUGUGGGAAGGCCCAGACAGCCAGGAUGUUGGCUUAGAAGCAGCCAUCAUUUAAAGAAAGCGUAAUAGCUCACUGGUCGAGUCGGCCUGCGCGGAAGAUGUAACGGGGCUAAACCAUGCACCGAAGCUGCGGCAGCGACGCUUAUGCGUUGUUGGGUAGGGGAGCGU